GAUGAACGCUGGCGGCGUGCUUAACACAUGCAAGUCGAACGAUGAAGCUAGAGCUUGCUCUGGUGAAUUAGUGGCGAACGGGUGAGUAACACGUGAGUAACCUGCCCCGAACUCUGGGAUAACUGCUGGAAACGGUAGCUAAUACUGGAUACGACCUACGAAGGCAUCUUCUGUAGGUGGAAAGAAUUUCGGUUCGGGAUGGACUCGCGGCCUAUCAGCUUGUUGGUGAGGUAAUGGCUCACCAAGGCGACGACGGGUAGCCGGCCUGAGAGGGUGAGCGGCCACACUGGGACGGAGACACGGCCCAGACUCCUACGGGAGGCAGCAGUGGGGAAUAUUGCACAAUGGGCGCAAGCCUGAUGCAGCAACGCCGCGUGAGGGAUGGCGGCCUUCGGGUUGUAAACCUCUUUUAGUAGGGAAGAAGCGAAAGUGACGGUACCUGCAGAAAAAGCACCGGCUAACUACGUGCCAGCAGCCGCGGUAA
This 484-nucleotide ribosomal RNA is filed under the name uncultured bacterium. RNAcentral describes it as "partial 16S ribosomal RNA". It matches the Rfam family "Bacterial small subunit ribosomal RNA", at positions 28 to 523 of the family's 1533-position model. The record is from RNAcentral.